RNAcentral lists this microRNA (22 nucleotides) under Aegilops tauschii. RNAcentral's name for it is "ata-miR169a-3p". Its record names the gene ata-miR169j-3p. Lineage: Eukaryota; Viridiplantae; Streptophyta; Magnoliopsida; Poales; Poaceae. The record is from miRBase by way of RNAcentral.
UGGGCAAGUCACCCUGGCUACC